RNAcentral lists this ribosomal RNA (446 nucleotides) under uncultured bacterium. RNAcentral describes it as "partial 16S ribosomal RNA". It matches the Rfam family "Bacterial small subunit ribosomal RNA", at positions 355 to 790 of the family's 1533-position model. The record is from RNAcentral.
UAGGGAAUCUUCGGCAAUGGACGAAAGUCUGACCGAGCAACGCCGCGUGAGUGAAGAAGGUUUUCGGAUCGUAAAACUCUGUUGUUAGAGAAGAACGUUGCAUAGAGUGGAAAAUUAUGCAAGUGACGGUAUCUAACCAGAAAGGGACGGCUAACUACGUGCCAGCAGCCGCGGUAAUACGUAGGUCCCGAGCGUUGUCCGGAUUUAUUGGGCGUAAAGCGAGCGCAGGUGGUUUAAUAAGUCUGAUGUAAAAAGGCAGUGGCUCAACCAUUGUGUGCAUUGGAAACUGUUAGACUUGAGUGCAGUAGAGGAGAGUGGAAUUCCAUGUGUAGCGGUGAAAUGCGUAGAUAUAUGGAGGAACACCGGUGGCGAAAAGCGGCUCUCUGGACUGUCACUGACACUGAGGCUCGAAAGCGUGGGUAGCAAACAGGAUUAGAUAGCCCUGG